Molecule: ribosomal RNA, 402 nt
Filed under: uncultured bacterium
Lineage: Bacteria
Description: bacterial SSU rRNA
Rfam family: Bacterial small subunit ribosomal RNA
Source: RNAcentral
GGGGAAUAUUGCGCAAUGGGGGGAACCCUGACGCAGCAACGCCGCGUGAGUGAAGAAGGUCUUCGGAUCGUAAAACUCUGUCAUAGGGGAAGAAGAGAUGACGGUACCCUAUGAGGAAGCCCCGGCUAACUACGUGCCAGCAGCCGCGGUAAUACGUAGGGGGCGAGCGUUGUCCGGAAUUACUGGGCGUAAAGGGUGCGUAGGCGGCCGAUUAAGUCAGAUGUGAAAUACCAUGGCUCAACCAUGGGGGUGCAUAUGAAACUGGUUGGCUUGAGUGCAGGAGAGGAAAGUGGAAUUCCUAGUGUAGCGGUGAAAUGCGUAGAGAUUAGGAGGAACACCAGUGGCGAAGGCGACUUUCUGGACUGUAACUGACGCUGAGGCACGAAAGCGUGGGGAGCAAAC